UACGAAGGGGGCUAGCGUUGUUCGGAUUUACUGGGCGUAAAGCGCACGUAGGCGGAUUGUUAAGUUAGAGGUGAAAUCCCGAGGCUCAACCUCGGAACUGCCUUUCAUACUGGCUAUCUAGAGUCCGGAAGAGGUGAGUGGAACUCCUAGUGUAGAGGUGGAAUUCGUAGAUAUUAGGAAGAACACCAGUGGCGAAGGCGGCUCACUGGUCCGGUACUGACGCUGAGGUGCGAAAGCGUGGGGGGCAAACAGG
This 253-nucleotide ribosomal RNA is filed under the name uncultured bacterium. RNAcentral's name for it is "partial 16S ribosomal RNA". It matches the Rfam family "Bacterial small subunit ribosomal RNA", at positions 524 to 776 of the family's 1533-position model. The record is from RNAcentral.